Helianthus annuus (common sunflower) is the source of this 1475-nucleotide long non-coding RNA. RefSeq lists it as uncharacterized. The record is from RefSeq and is a predicted model, not a curated record. The transcript has 2 exons. Lineage: Eukaryota; Viridiplantae; Streptophyta; Magnoliopsida; Asterales; Asteraceae.
AUACGGGAUUAUAUUGGUAGGCGCAUGAAACAAUAGUAGUUUCUACUAUGAACCAUGACACGGAACGUAACAAGACAUCGAAGAGCGAAACGGACGUAAUAUGGUAUGAACAUGGUGGAUACGCCGCUGGUACUUCCUAUAUAUAAGUGUUUCUACCAUAUUACCAAACUUCCGUGAAAUCUUGCCAUGAGAAAUUCGGUGUUUCCUUAGACCUUAUCGAAUACAAACUUUGAUCACUCACAAUCUAUUUUUCGGUUGUACCCAAAUGUACUUCAAAAAAAUGCCAUCUUUUCCCAAAGAUCUUCCUCUUAAAUAAAUUUUGGGACGAAAUUUCCUAAAGUAGGGGAGACUGUAACGCCUCGUAUUUCCAUAUUACUAUGCUUUUUGAAAACUCGUGUUCGUUUUAUAUUUUUAGAACCACUGUGGAAAUCAGACCGAAAACGGAUUAAAAACGACAAGCGACACAUUUUUACGCGCUUUUAACGCAACCGACCAACGAACGCAUCAUACAUCGAUUUCCGACACCAUUUACGUUUUUUUUCUGUUUGUUUUUCCUAUAAUAAUAUCCUACAACAUUUCACGAUGUGCGAGUUCGAAAACUGGUCUCGUAGACGCGACCGGGCCGUUUGGAACGCAAGAAACAGGCUAGUGGGCUUUGGGCCUAACUUACAAUAAACCCUAACUAUAAAAGGGUUUAUUCACCGUUCUCUCACAUACACACACCCUUCUGCCUCUCUCUCGAUCUCUCUACCGGAGCCGAUUCUCGACCGGAUCUUCGGCGCCGAUCUCCGGCCACGCACAACCACUUCACCACGACCUGUGUCACUCUCCACUCUCGCUCAUCUCUUAAACAGACGGCUGACCACCAUUCUUGGUGGCGGCGGCGCUAGGAUGGUGGUCGUGGGGUGAUGAUAACACUCUGGGUUCAAUCGAUCAGAAGCUCUGGCAGCAGUAACGAUGGCGGUGGUUCUAUUUCGGGUCGGGUUUGGUUUGGAAGGGUUGAGGAUGGUGGUGGUGUCGACGACAACAAGAGCCGACGCACGGCAGCAGCCGACGUCGGCAGAGGCAGUGGUUCAGUUCGGGUCAUGUUUUGGUUAGUAUUUCAAGUUCCGGUCAGAUUUGUUUUGAUUUGGGUUUGUUUCCGGCAGUGGUGCCGAUGACGCGACGACGAUGGUCUUCGCCGGAGAACUUGCAACAUCAAGGAUGAAGUCGACGUCGUCGGAAUCACCUCGCACCUUCAUUUCGGAUAAUUCCCAUUGUUUGAAGUUUUCCCUAUUUUCCCAUGCGCUCAUCUACAAGGAAUCACAUAUGCAACCAUUGAUUUUGAUGAUGCAAGGAAUCUAGUAGGAUUGCCUAGAAACGCAUUUAAACUUUAAUACUUGUUGUACCGUAUUUUAUUUUCGAACAUGUUGUAUUUUGUUUCUAAACCUUGUAUUAAACCAUUAUAAAUGAAAUGGAAUUUUAGUUCUUUUACA